RNAcentral lists this ribosomal RNA (450 nucleotides) under uncultured bacterium. RNAcentral describes it as "partial 16S ribosomal RNA". It matches the Rfam family "Bacterial small subunit ribosomal RNA", at positions 354 to 796 of the family's 1533-position model. The record is from RNAcentral.
GUCGAGAAUAAUUCACAAUGGACGAAAGUCUGAUGGUGCAACGCCGCGUGGAGGAUGAAGGUCUUCGGAUUGUAAACUCCUGUCAUCGGGGAGUAAGACCUGGCGGUAAAUAGCCGACAGGGUUGAUAGUACCCGAAGAGGAAGGGACGGCUAACUUCGUGCCAGCAGCCGCGGUAAUACGAAGGUCCCAAGCGUUGUUCGGAAUCACUGGGCGUACAGGGAGCGUAGGCGGCGUGGUAAGUCAGAUGUGAAAUCCCGGGGCUCAACCCCGGAACUGCAUCCGAUACUGCCAUGCUAGAGGGUUGGAGAGGUAGCUGGAAUUCUCGGUGUAGCAGUGAAAUGCGUGGAUAUCGAGAGGAACACUCGUGGCGAAGGCGAGCUACUGGACAACAUCUGACGCUGAGGCUCGAAGGCCAGGGGAGCAAAAGGGAUUAGAAACCCCUGUAGUCC